Molecule: long non-coding RNA, 581 nt
Filed under: Homo sapiens (human)
Lineage: Eukaryota; Metazoa; Chordata; Mammalia; Primates; Hominidae
Description: PREDICTED lncRNA (TCONS_00005738)
Source: RNAcentral
CCCCACUGCCCUUGAGCAAUGCCUGAAAACAUCAGGCACUGGGUAUUCAGUAAACAAAUACCCUAGGAUGAGAAAAGAUGCUGACUUUGCUUAGUUAUGGAGAUUCUCCCUUUCGCCCUCAAGUCAUCUGAAGCCCUGUUUUCGCUGGGCAUGCUGCCAUUCAGCCAAAAGACCACAUUCCUCAAUCUCUGUCUCUUCCAGGGAGAUGUGGCCACAGGACUCAGUUCUGACCAAGGAGCUGAGAUGUGAUGGCUGGAGACUCAACACCAUUCUGGACGGGUCUUGCUCUGUCUCCCAGGCUGGAGUGCAGUGGCGCAUUCAUAGCUCAAGUGAUCCUCCCGCCUCAGCCUCCCAGGUAGCCAGGACUACAGGUCUGCACCACCACACCCGGCCAUUGGUCUAAUUUCUAAGCAAGGCCAGUGUCUUCCAAUGAGCUCAGGGUGGGAAACCCCACGGGGGUUGGGCUGUGAACUGUACCAGGUGGCCCAAGCUGGGGGUCCAAAAAGACAGAUCCACAUCUCAAAUCCACUGAACUCUGGGAAUCCCUGUGAUGACCUGAGACCUGCAUCAUCACUGCCCCC